GCUGACGACAGCCGCAGAAACCAGGCCGCUGCAACUGUUUAUUAAAAACAUAGCACUCUGCAAACACGAAAGUGGACGUAUAGGGUGUGAUGCCUGCCCGGUGCUGGAAGGUUAAUUGAUGGGGUUAGCGUAAGCGAAGCUCUUGAUCGAAGCCCCAGUAAACGGCGGCCGUAACUAUAACGGUCCUAAGGUAGCGAAAUUCCUUGUCGGGUAAGUUCCGACCUGCACGAAUGGCAUAAUGAUGGCGGCGCUGUCUCCAGCAGAGGCUCAGUGAAAUCGAAAUCGCUGUGAAGAUGCAGUGUACCCGCGGCUAGACGGAAAGACCCCGUGAACCUUUACUGCAGCUUGACACUGAACUUUGACCUUACUUGUGUAGGAUAGGUGGGAGGCUUUGAAGCUGGAACGCUAGUUCCAGUGGAGCCGUCCUUGAAAUACCACCCUGGUAAUGUUGAGGUUCUAACUCUGUCCCGUGAUCCGGGACGAGGACCGUGUCUGGUGGGUAGUUUGACUGGGGCGGUCUCCUCCUAAAGAGUAACGGAGGAGUACGAAGGUGCGCUCAGCGUGGUCGGAAAUCACGCGUAGAGUAUAAAGGCAAAAGCGCGCUUAACUGCGAGACCCACAAGUCGAGCAGGUACGAAAGUAGGUCUUAGUGAUCCGGUGGUUCUGUAUGGAAGGGCCAUCGCUCAACGGAUAAAAGGUACUCUGGGGAUAACAGGCUGAUACCGCCCAAGAGUUCAUAUCGACGGCGGUGUUUGGCACCUCGAUGUCGGCUCAUCUCAUCCUGGGGCUGAAGCAGGUCCCAAGGGUAUGGCUGUUCGCCAUUUAAAGAGGUACGCGAGCUGGGUUUAGAACGUCGUGAGACAGUUCGGUCCCUAUCUACCGUGGGCGCUGGAAAUUUGAGAGGAUCUGCUCCUAGUACGAGAGGACCAGAGUGGACGAACCUCUGGUGUACCGGUUGUGACGCCAGUCGCAUCGCCGGGUAGCUAUGUUCGGAAGGGAUAACCGCUGAAAGCAUCUAAGCGGGAAGCCUACCUCAAGAUAAGAUUUCCCUAGGACUUUAUGUCCUCUAAAGAGCCGUUCGAGACUAGGACGUUGAUAGGUUGGAUGUGGAAGCAUAGUGAUAUGUGAAGCUGACCAAUACUAAUUGCUCGUGAGGCUUGACUAU
Molecule: ribosomal RNA, 1165 nt
Filed under: Acinetobacter baumannii
Lineage: Bacteria; Pseudomonadati; Pseudomonadota; Gammaproteobacteria; Moraxellales; Moraxellaceae
Description: partial 23S ribosomal RNA
Rfam family: Bacterial large subunit ribosomal RNA
Source: RNAcentral